Molecule: ribosomal RNA, 474 nt
Filed under: uncultured Basidiomycota
Lineage: Eukaryota; Fungi; Basidiomycota
Description: SSU rRNA
Rfam family: Eukaryotic small subunit ribosomal RNA
Source: RNAcentral
AGCAGCCGCGGUAAUUCCAGCUCCAAUAGCGUAUAUUAAAGUUGUUGCCGUUAAAAAGCUCGUAGUCGAACUUCGGCCUCUGCCGCCCGGUCCGCCUAAUUGGGUGUGUACUGGAGCGGUGGAGGCUUACCUCGUGGUGAACGGCCAUGUCCUUUACUGGGUGUGGUCGGGAACCAUGACUUUUACUGUGAAAAAAUUAGAGUGUUCAAAGCAGGCUUACGCCCGAAUACAUUAGCAUGGAAUAAUAAAAUAGGACGUGCGGUCCUAUUUUGUUGGUUUCUAGGAUCGCCGUAAUGAUUAAUAGGGAUAGUUGGGGGCAUUCGUAUUCAAUUGUCAGAGGUGAAAUUCUUGGAUUUAUUGAAGACGAACUACUGCGAAAGCAUUUGCCAAGGAUGUUUUCAUUGAUCAAGAACGAAGGUUAGGGGAUCGAAAACGAUCAGAUACCGUUGUAGUCUUAACAGUAAACGAUGCCGA